Molecule: long non-coding RNA, 236 nt
Filed under: Phoenix dactylifera (date palm)
Lineage: Eukaryota; Viridiplantae; Streptophyta; Magnoliopsida; Arecales; Arecaceae
Description: long non-coding RNA (PDAC_LNC005304)
Source: RNAcentral
CUUAGAUUGAUGCCCCUAACUGGUAUUUGGCUGGUUUUCAAGCUCUUUUAUAUUGAUUUAUCAAAGUAGGUCCAAUUGGUAGGUUAGGAACCAUUUUAAAAUAGUUACCUGACCCCUAAAAGACAAAACACAUUUGAUUUUAACAAGCAUAAUUUAAGAAUUUAAGCUUCUUUUCUGAAAAGCUUAGGUUAGCAUUCAAUUAGUAAUCUUGACCUCAAUAGUUGUGUUAAAAUAUC